GAUGAAGAACGUAGCGAAAUGCGAUAAGUAAUGUGAAUUGCAGAAUUCAGUGAAUCAUCGAAUCUUUGAACGCACAUUGCGCCCUUUGGUAUUCCUUAGGGCAUGCCUGUCUGAGCGUCAUUUCAACCCUCAUGCCCCUAGGGCGUGGUGUUGGGGAUCGGCCAAAGCCCGCGAGGGACGGCCGGCCCCUAAAUCUAGUGGCGGACCCGUCGUGGCCUCCUCUGCGAAGUAGUGAUAUUCCGCAUCGGAGAGCGAUGAGCCCCUGCCGUUAAACCCCCAACUUUCCAAGGUUGACCUCAGAUCAGGUAGGAAUACCCGCUGAACUUAAGCAUAUCAAUAAGCGGAGGA
This 348-nucleotide unclassified non-coding RNA is filed under the name soil metagenome. RNAcentral describes it as "partial contains 5.8S ribosomal RNA, internal transcribed spacer 2, and large subunit ribosomal RNA". The stretch from base 1 to 120 matches the Rfam family "5.8S ribosomal RNA", at positions 35 to 154 of the family's 154-position model. The record is from RNAcentral.